Molecule: ribosomal RNA, 429 nt
Filed under: Fusobacteriota bacterium
Lineage: Bacteria; Fusobacteriati; Fusobacteriota
Description: Fusobacteria bacterium partial 16S ribosomal RNA
Rfam family: Bacterial small subunit ribosomal RNA
Source: RNAcentral
UGGGGAAUCUUCCGCAAUGGACGAAAGUCUGACGGAGCAACGCCGCGUGAGUGAAGACGGCCUUCGGGUUGUAAAGCUCUGUGAUCCGGGACGAAAGAGCCUGAGGUGAAUAGCCUAAGGAAGUGACGGUACAGGAAAAGCAAGCCACGGCUAACUACGUGCCAGCAGCCGCGGUAAUACGUAGGUGGCAAGCGUUGUCCGGAAUUAUUGGGCGUAAAGCGCGCGCAGGCGGCUUCCUAAGUCCAUCUUAAAAGUGCGGGGCUUAACCCCGUUAUGGGAUGGAAACUGGGAAGCUGGAGUAUCGGAGAGGAAAGUGGAAUUCCUAGUGUAGCGGUGAAAUGCGUAGAGAUUAGGAAGAACACCGGUGGCGAAGGCGACUUUCUGGACGAAAACUGACGCUGAGGCGCGAAAGCGUGGGGAGCAAACAGG